Molecule: non-coding RNA, 21 nt
Organism: Caenorhabditis elegans
Lineage: Eukaryota; Metazoa; Nematoda; Chromadorea; Rhabditida; Rhabditidae
Source: Ensembl
UAUCUGAUCGACAUUGAUUGG